GAUGAAGAACGCAGCGAAAUGCGAUAAGUAAUGUGAAUUGCAGAAUUCAGUGAAUCAUCGAAUCUUUGAACGCACAUUGCGCCCGUCAGUAUUCUGGCGGGCAUGCCUGUUCGAGCGUCAUUACGCCCCUCAAGUCCCCUGUGGACUUGGUGUUGGGGAUCGGCGAGGCUGGUUUUCCAGCACAGCCGUCCCUUAAAUUAAUUGGCGGUCUCGCCGUGGCCCUCCUCUGCGCAGUAGUAAAACACUCGCAACAGGAGCCCGGCGCGGUCCACUGCCGUAAAACCCCCCAACUUUUUGUAGUUGACCUCGAAUCAGGUAGGACUACCCGCUGAACUUAAGCAUAUCAAUAAGCGGAGGA
Molecule: unclassified non-coding RNA, 358 nt
Filed under: soil metagenome
Description: partial contains 5.8S ribosomal RNA, internal transcribed spacer 2, and large subunit ribosomal RNA
Rfam family: 5.8S ribosomal RNA (bases 1-120)
Source: RNAcentral